GAUGAACGCUGGCGGCGUGCCUAAUACAUGCAAGUCGAGCGAACAGACGAGGAGCUUGCUCCUCUGACGUUAGCGGCGGACGGGUGAGUAACACGUGGAUAACCUACCUAUAAGACUGGGAUAACUUCGGGAAACCGGAGCUAAUACCGGAUAAUAUAUUGAACCGCAUGGUUCAAUAGUGAAAGACGGUUUUGCUGUCACUUAUAGAUGGAUUCGCGCCGCAUUAGCUAGUUGGUAAGGUAACGGCUUACCAAGGCGACGAUGCGUAGCCGACCUGAGAGGGUGAUCGGCCACACUGGAACUGAGACACGGUCCAGACUCCUACGGGAGGCAGCAGUAGGGAAUCUUCCGCAAUGGGCGAAAGCCUGACGGAGCAACACCGCGUGAGUGAUGAAGGUCUUCGGAUCGUAAAGCUCUGUUAUUAGGGAAGAACAAAAGUGUAAGUAACUAUGGACGUCUUGACGGUACCUAAACAGAAAGCCACGGCUAACUACGUG
RNAcentral lists this ribosomal RNA (497 nucleotides) under uncultured bacterium. RNAcentral describes it as "partial 16S ribosomal RNA". It matches the Rfam family "Bacterial small subunit ribosomal RNA", at positions 28 to 507 of the family's 1533-position model. The record is from RNAcentral.